This 91-nucleotide transfer RNA is filed under the name Gemmatimonadetes bacterium T265. RNAcentral's name for it is "tRNA-Gly". The record is from RNAcentral. Lineage: Bacteria; Pseudomonadati; Gemmatimonadota.
CGCCCCGGCGCGCGGGGGGCGCGAGCUGUCGGCCGAGCAACAGGCGUGGCAGGCGCUGUCGCGCGCCGCGUUCGGCCCGCGCCCGGGCGAC